This 331-nucleotide ribosomal RNA is filed under the name uncultured bacterium. RNAcentral's name for it is "bacterial SSU rRNA". It matches the Rfam family "Bacterial small subunit ribosomal RNA", at positions 568 to 898 of the family's 1533-position model. The record is from RNAcentral.
UGCGUAGGCGGCUCUUUAAGUCAGUGGUGAAAUCUUGCCGCUUAACGGUAAAAUUGCCAUUGAUACUGAAGAGCUUGAGUACAGUUGAGGUAAGCGGAAUGUGUAGUGUAGCGGUGAAAUGCUUAGAUAUUACACAGAACACCAAUUGCGAAGGCAGCUUACUAAACUGUUACUGACGCUGAUGCACGAAAGCGUGGGGAGCGAACAGGAUUAGAUACCCUGGUAGUCCACGCCGUAAACGAUGCUCACUCGCUGUUUGCGAUACACAGCAAGCGGCCAAGCGAAAGCAUUAAGUGAGCCCACCGUGGGGGAGUACGAUCGCAAGGUUGAA